CCUACGGGUGGCAGCAGUGGGGAAUAUUGCGCAAUGGGCGAAAGCCUGACGCAGCGACGCCGCGUGAGGGAUGAAGGUCUUCGGAUCGUAAACCUCUGUCAGCAGGGAAGAACGGUCACUGUGCUAAUCAGCAGUGAAUUGACGGUACCUGCACAGGAAGCACCGGCUAACUCCGUACCAGCAGCCGCGGUAAUACGUAGGGUGCGAGCGUUAAUCGGAAUUACUGGGCGUAAAGCGCGCGUAGGCGGUUUGUCAAGUCAAGUGUGAAAUCCCCGGGCUCAACGUGGGAACUGCCUUUGAAACUGGCAAACUUGAGUGUGUUAGAGGAGAGCGGAAUUCCAGGUGUAGGAGUGAAAUCCGUAGAUAUCUGGAGGAACAUCAGUGGCGAAGGCGACUAUCUGGCACAUAACUGACGCUGAGGAGCGAAAGCGUGGGUAGCAAACAGGAUUAGAUACCCUAGUAGUC
Molecule: ribosomal RNA, 465 nt
Filed under: uncultured bacterium
Lineage: Bacteria
Description: partial 16S ribosomal RNA
Rfam family: Bacterial small subunit ribosomal RNA
Source: RNAcentral